UACGGGGGGGGGCAAGCGUUGUUCGGAAUUACUGGGCGUAAAGGGCUCGUAGGCGGCCAACUAAGUCAGACGUGAAAUCCCUCGGCUUAACCGGGGAACUGCAUCUGAUACUGGAUGGCUUGAGUUCGGGAGAGGGAUGUGGAAUUCCAGGUGUAGCGGUGAAAUGCGUAGAUAUCUGGAGGAACACCGGUGGCGAAGGCGGCAUCCUGGACCGACACUGACGCUGAGGAGCGAAAGCCAGGGGAGCAAACGGGG
RNAcentral lists this ribosomal RNA (255 nucleotides) under uncultured bacterium. RNAcentral describes it as "partial 16S ribosomal RNA". It matches the Rfam family "Bacterial small subunit ribosomal RNA", at positions 524 to 777 of the family's 1533-position model. The record is from RNAcentral.